GUGGGUUUUGCCUUUGUAAGCACCCGAUGAACAUUCUUUUCAGUCGUCCUUUGGGAAUCAUGGUAUAUGACUGCCUGUUAAGUACAGUAGAAAUUCAGAGCAUACCUCAAAAUUCAGAAGAUCAGGAGAGAAGGGAGUGAAGCCAUGGUGAUGCUGUCUGGGAUUUCAUCCAUUCCCUCCCUCAUUUGUCUCUACCUUGUGGUAGCUGGCCGAUAAAAGCUCAAUGAAGGGGAGUUGCAUAGCAUCUACCUGUGAUGUUCAGUAUUGGGGUAAGCAGACCUGGUCCCCGUUCUUCAACUUGGGACAGUUCUACAGGACAUCAGAGCAUAAAGCUCCCCACGGGACAGUCCCAGACACUGUUAUAUCUUCCUCCUUCCGUCUCAGUACAACUCCCAAGAGCUUUCCCCAGUGAACUUCCUGCAAGGGAACUUAGUCUCUGAACCUUCUCCCUGGGCAAUAUGAGCUAGUGUGAUGGCUGUCCUGGAUUGUCAACUGGACUACAUCCAGAAAUGGAAGGCACACUUGAAAGAGAUUCUGCUUGAUUUGAAAUGGGUAAAUCAACUUCUAGUCCGGACCUUUGAGGUAGGAAGUCACCAAUGAUCCAGAUCUCAAGCAGGGAAGGCACACACCUUUUAUUUGAAUCUUCAAGUGGGAAGACAUACCUUUAAUUUGGGCCACAUCUGCUGUGUAAGGGCUUGGAAGGAAGAUUUUUGACUGCUUGCUCUUGCCCUUGCUAGCAAGUCCAUUUCUUCACUGGCAUUAGGGCUUACUUCUUCAAGAUUCCAGUGUCUACUGAAGACCAGCUGAGACAUCCAGCCUUGUAGACUGAGCAACUUCUAGAUUGUUGGACUUUCCAUUCAUAGCCUGCCAAUAUCGGAUUGGUUGAUCCAUACCCUAGAGUUAGAGGCACUUGGCUGCAUGGCAGGUGUCCUGUCUGGUGUCCUGUCCUCCUUGAGGGAGCAGCUAUUGUCUUUGCUUCAAAAAAUCAACUCCUACUGAAGCUCUUUGUUUGUCUAAGAAGAUGGAUGACUUCUGGGAUCAUGGAAUUCAAGGGCACCAGCGCUCACCAAUUCCUACAGAUAUCAAACAAGUCACCUGCUACUCAUAUUUCAGAUACAAAUGAAAUCAGACAGAGUCUUUACCCAUUCUAACUUCCUGGUGGGAUUUUACUCCAUCCUGUUGUCCUACUCACCCCAGAGCCAAGACCUAAGCAACUAAGGACAGCCCCUAUGCCUGUGAUCCUGGGCAUACCAUUCAACUAGCUUCUUACCUGCCACUUCCUAGCCAAUUCUUCCUCAUGGAAACCACUGUGACGCUUUUGCCCACACAUCCCUGUUGCUCAUACUACCGUCUAAAUGCCGGAAGUGCUUCUCUUUAUACCCUCCCCCAUGGCAUAGUGACCUCUUAUUUCUUGCAAUUUCUGCAUAACCAGUAAUUUUAACACUGGCAAUUGUUUUCUGAUCUGGUGUCCUCACUAUGCUGAGUAACAAU
RNAcentral lists this long non-coding RNA (1491 nucleotides) under Cricetulus griseus (Chinese hamster). RNAcentral's name for it is "lncRNA (ENSCGRG00015038816.1)". Lineage: Eukaryota; Metazoa; Chordata; Mammalia; Rodentia; Cricetidae. The record is from RNAcentral.